UAUUUGUUCCCUUUCCAUUUUCUUCAUUAGCUUUCUUUAUAUAUAUAUAUGUAUUCCCCGAUCCAAAAAAACCUUUCUUCGUAUCUGUUCCUUUUUCAUUUUCUUCAUCCGUUUUUUUUGGCAUAUUCUCUAUCAAAAAGUAGUAGUUGUUUUGUAUUCAAAGUUUUCCCCAGCUGCAAAGUUGUUGUUGUUUUGUAUUCAAAGUUUUUUCCAGCUGCUGUUUAUUGCAAGGUUUUUUUGAGUGUUCUGAUAUUUUCUCUGAUCUGUAUUUUCACAUCGUAAUUUUGGUAAGUGUUAUUUUUUCAUUUAUUUUGAUUGUUGUAAUAAAUUCUUCUUUCACUCCGUAAUUUUUUAAUUUAUCCGUUUCUUCUUUUAUUUGUUAUUCCUCAAUCAUUUUCUUAUUCGGUUAAUUUGAAUUAUUUUUUUAUUUUUUUUGGUUUUUUUAGUGUCGUCCUGUUGUUACCUAAUUUUGGCAAGUAUUAUUUUUUACUUAUUAUCAUUGCCACAUUAAAUUCGGGUUUUCAUUUGUUUAUUUUACAUCUGCUAGUUUGUUUGUUGUUUUUCAAUGCAUUUAUUUAUUUAUUUAUUAAUUUACAUAAUUUUAAUGUCGUGCCUUAGAUUUAAGGUUUUAAUACUUUUUGUAUGAAUACACUGUAAUAUAAAAUUACAGUGAUGUCUGAAAAACGCGAUAACAGAGAUCGAACUGAUGAUAGUAUAAUCGCUAGUAAAAGAAUUAUAUAGGUUGAUGGCACCUGAUAAGAAAAAGUACUUGUUAGCUCGACAACGAGCAAACAAAGUUGAAGCAAAAAAACGUCUUUUGUCUGAAAGUUCAAACGUCAGCAAUUUGACUCCGCCUUUUCUUAGGCAACCACUUCUUUCGCAGAACAAGCUUUUUCUGUUGUAAGACACUCGUACCUUCUUGGUGAAACAGGUAACGACUUCUUCAUCUACCAAAAUUAAAGGUAAAGGUAGUUAAAACUUUUAAAAACAUCUCUACUGUAAAAAUUGAUUUAAAUUUGAUAUAAAACCAACUUUAUUGAUUGCUAUUAUUUAUUAUCAGGAUCAACAUCGGCUACAAAGAGUUCACAAAUGAAGAUCCAAUAACGAAUAUAAUACAAGUUGAUACACAAAUUGAUGGCUCAAGUGGUGUACAAACACAAAUUAACUAUAUUUAUCUUAAAGCUGUUCCUAAUUGUAAAUUUUGUGGCGUAAAAAAAUUUGAAUAUGAAUCUUUUGGGUUUUGCUGUAGUAAUGGUUCUGUACAUUUAAUUUCUUAUGAAAUGCCUCAUGAAUUGAGAAAUCUUUAUUUA
Long non-coding RNA from Capsicum annuum, 1310 nucleotides. RefSeq lists it as uncharacterized. The transcript is spliced from 2 exons. The record is from RefSeq and is a predicted model, not a curated record. NCBI's taxonomy places the organism in Eukaryota, Viridiplantae, Streptophyta, Magnoliopsida, Solanales, Solanaceae.